Photinus pyralis (common eastern firefly) is the source of this 458-nucleotide long non-coding RNA. RefSeq lists it as uncharacterized. The record is from RefSeq and is a predicted model, not a curated record. The transcript is spliced from 3 exons. NCBI's taxonomy places the organism in Eukaryota, Metazoa, Arthropoda, Insecta, Coleoptera, Lampyridae.
UUAAUCUAUGACAUUUCUAUAGGCAUACCCAAUCAGGCGCGAGUGCUCAUUGCACUUGAGCUUUAAUAUUUCGAUAAUCAACGGAGGUGCACAAAGAUCAUUGAAGUUUGUUUGCACCUUCAUUACCUUCAUUUAGGGUGGGCAAUCGUUUGCACCUGCGGUUAUGUGGAAAGAGUUAAAUCGUUAUCGAGUUACUUGGUCAAUGAGAACAAUCGAUUAUCACAUUAAUCCAGUCCCACAUACGCGCAAUACAUAUAGUGAGGUUCGGCGAUACGCGAAAAAUGGACACCUGGGCAUACCAAUAGACCUUUUCUUGAUUCCACGUUUGUCACAUGUACCUACACAGAAACUCUCAACUCUCUUAAGUGGGAAAGGAAGCUGUUUUCAAGAGCACCCCGGGAUAUUAUUGGAGGGCAUGAAGCUGCAGUCAAUGUACGUCAGUGAGCAACCUCCAUUGG